Molecule: ribosomal RNA, 506 nt
Filed under: uncultured bacterium
Lineage: Bacteria
Description: partial 16S ribosomal RNA
Rfam family: Bacterial small subunit ribosomal RNA
Source: RNAcentral
AGUGAACGCUGGCGGUAGGCCUAACACAUGCAAGUCGAACGGCAGCACAGGAGAGCUUGCUCUCUGGGUGGCGAGUGGCGGACGGGUGAGGAAUACAUCGGAAUCUACUCUGUCGUGGGGGAUAACGUAGGGAAACUUACGCUAAUACCGCAUACGACCUACGGGUGAAAGCAGGGGACCUUCGGGCCUUGCGCGAUUGAAUGAGCCGAUGUCGGAUUAGCUAGUUGGCGGGGUAAAGGCCCACCAAGGCGACGAUCCGUAGCUGGUCUGAGAGGAUGAUCAGCCACACGGGAACUGAGACACGGUCCAGACUCCUACGGGAGGCAGCAGUGGGGAAUAUUGGACAAUGGGCGCAAGCCUGAUCCAGCCAUACCGCGUGGGUGAAGAAGGCCUUCGGGUUGUAAAGCCCUUUUGUUGGGAAAGAAAUCCAGCUGGCUAAUACCCGGUUGGGAUGACGGUACCCAAAGAAUAAGCACCGGUUAACUUCGUGCCAGCCGCCGCUGUAA